GGAAGAUUGGCAGAGUGGUUUAUUGCAGUGGGUUGCUAACUCACCGGGUGUAACAGCCCCAUAGGUUCAAAUCCUAUAUCUUCCGCCA
RNAcentral lists this transfer RNA (88 nucleotides) under Flavobacteriaceae bacterium. RNAcentral's name for it is "tRNA-Ser". It matches the Rfam family "tRNA". From Rfam's summary of the family: Transfer RNA (tRNA) molecules are approximately 80 nucleotides in length. Their secondary structure includes four short double-helical elements and three loops (D, anti-codon, and T loops). Lineage: Bacteria; Pseudomonadati; Bacteroidota; Flavobacteriia; Flavobacteriales; Flavobacteriaceae. The record is from RNAcentral.